This is a ribosomal RNA of 452 nucleotides. It matches the Rfam family "Bacterial small subunit ribosomal RNA", at positions 58 to 524 of the family's 1533-position model.
CAAGUCGAACGAUGAACCGGUUUCGGCCGGGGAUUAGUGGCGAACGGGUGAGUAACACGUGGGCAAUCUGCCCUGCACUCUGGGACAAGCCCUGGAAACGGGGUCUAAUACCGGAUACGACGCGUUCCCGCAUGGGAUACGUGUGGAAAGCUCCGGCGGUGCAGGAUGAGCCCGCGGCCUAUCAGCUUGUUGGUGGGGUGAUGGCCUACCAAGGCGACGACGGGUAGCCGGCCUGAGAGGGCGACCGGCCACACUGGGACUGAGACACGGCCCAGACUCCUACGGGAGGCAGCAGUGGGGAAUAUUGCACAAUGGGCGCAAGCCUGAUGCAGCGACGCCGCGUGAGGGAUGACGGCCUUCGGGUUGUAAACCUCUUUCAGCAGGGAAGAAGCGUGAGUGACGGUACCUGCAGAAGAAGCGCCGGCUAACUACGUGCCAGCAGCCGCGGUAAU